UUCCUUUUUCAAAAGAACAAG
This is a non-coding RNA of Caenorhabditis elegans, 21 nucleotides long. Lineage: Eukaryota; Metazoa; Nematoda; Chromadorea; Rhabditida; Rhabditidae. The record is from Ensembl.